UGCCAGCAGCCGCGGUAAUACGGAGGGUGCAAGCGUUGUUCGGAUUUAUUGGGCGUAAAGCGAGUGUAGGCGGUUUGACAAGUCGGAUGUGAAAUCCCAGGGCCCAACCCUGGAACUGCAUCCGAUACUGUCAGGCUAGAGUCCCGGAGAGGAUGGCGGAAUUCCCGGUGUAGGGGUGAAAUCCGUAGAUAUCGGGAGGAACACCAGUGGCGAAGGCGGCCAUCUGGACGGUGACUGACGCUGAGGUGCGAAAGCGUGGGGAGCAAACAGGAUUAGAUA
RNAcentral lists this ribosomal RNA (279 nucleotides) under uncultured bacterium. RNAcentral's name for it is "partial 16S ribosomal RNA". It matches the Rfam family "Bacterial small subunit ribosomal RNA", at positions 506 to 784 of the family's 1533-position model. The record is from RNAcentral.